AACAACAUUGUCAGCACUCAGAUACUCCUUAAGGAACCCUUCGACCAUAACUCUGGGAACACUAGUACAAACCACUCGACAACCUGCGGCGGCCCAGACCUCGUAGACUUGAAGAUUCAGGUUUUCAAGAAAGAACUUGGGCAGCACAGCCCUUCCAACACUGUCCAUGUCUUUCAGUCUGAGUCCGCAGAAUGUAAUGAAGAUCAUGACUCUUAACUUCAACUCGUAGUUCAGAAAACAGAGGAAUGGAUAUGAUAAGAGCAGUAAAAAUGCUCUCAACAAGUUACCGCCUUCGAAAGCGACUAACAUGAAGUAAGGGAAGAUGGAGUGUGACCUUAGCAAAGUACUAUCUAUGUCACAGACCAGAGUUUCGGAUCCUCUGUUUUGUACUCUGCAUUUCGUUACACCAGGGUAAAUACUGGGAGAAGCCUGGUGCUGUUGUGAUCGAAGAGGUGGAUUUCUCGAGAAGAAACCGUAAUUCUUUACCUUCAUUGCAGCUCGGUAACAUGAAUUUGCUAGAAGCUGGUAGAUUAGCCACUCUACUAGCUUUAGAAACACCAUGGUAAAAACCAUGCUUUGUAAUGGAAAAAUGAUAUGUAUNACAAGCAAGCCUGAACUAGUUAACAGACCAGUAAAACGUUUACCAGAAGUGUGCAGCUCUGUUCCAACAACAUUGUCAGCACUCAGAUACUCCUUAAGGAACCCUUCGACCAUAACUCUGGGAACACUAGUACAAACCACUCGACAACCUGCGGCGGCCCAGACCUCGUAGACUUGAAGAUUCAGGUUUUCAAGAAAGAACUUGGGCAGCACAGCCCUUCCAACACUGUCCAUGUCUUUCAGUCUGAGUCCGCAGAAUGUAAUGAAGAUCAUGACUCUUAACUUCAACUCGUAGUUCAGAAAACAGAGGAAUGGAUAUGAUAAGAGCAG
Molecule: long non-coding RNA, 930 nt
Filed under: Daucus carota (carrot)
Lineage: Eukaryota; Viridiplantae; Streptophyta; Magnoliopsida; Apiales; Apiaceae
Description: long non-coding RNA (DCAR_LNC004406)
Source: RNAcentral